This 460-nucleotide ribosomal RNA is filed under the name uncultured Pelotomaculum sp. RNAcentral describes it as "bacterial SSU rRNA". It matches the Rfam family "Bacterial small subunit ribosomal RNA", at positions 924 to 1382 of the family's 1533-position model. The record is from RNAcentral. Lineage: Bacteria; Bacillati; Bacillota; Clostridia; Eubacteriales; Desulfotomaculaceae.
CACAAGCGGUGGAGCAUGUGGUUAAUUCGACGCAACGCGAAGAACCUUACCAGGGCUUGACAUCCCCUGACCGCGUAUGAAAGUACGUUUUCACCCUCGGGUGACAGGGAGACAGGUGGUGCAUGGUUGUCGUCAGCUCGUGUCGUGAGGUGUUGGGUUAAGUCCCGCAACGAGCGCAACCCCUACGUUUAGUUGCUAACGCGUGAAGGCGAGCACUCUAGACGAACUGCCGUUGACAAAACGGAGGAAGGUGGGGAUGACAUCAAAUCAUCAUGCCCCUUAUGUUCUGGGCUACACACGUGCUACAAUGGCCGGUACAGACGGACGCAAAGCCGCGAGGUGGAGCAAAUCCUAAAAAGCCGGUCUCAGUUCGGAUUGCAGGCUGCAAUUCGCCUGCAUGAAGUCGGAAUCGCUAGUAAUCGCAGGUCAGCAUACUGCGGUGAAUACGUUCCCGGGCCUU